This is a long non-coding RNA of Acyrthosiphon pisum (pea aphid), 718 nucleotides long. RefSeq lists it as uncharacterized. The record is from RefSeq and is a predicted model, not a curated record. The transcript has 3 exons. Lineage: Eukaryota; Metazoa; Arthropoda; Insecta; Hemiptera; Aphididae.
GUAUGCGCACUAAAAAAAAGUAAUUAAGGCCGAUAUAUUAUUUGCUCACAAUCCACGUUAUAACAUAUAUAUAUGUAGGUACUCACAAAACUUCUAUAAAAUAAAAAGCUUGAUUAAAGUUAACAAACCGCACGCUAUACAAUUAGAAUAAAACAAAAUAUUUAUCAUUGUUGCCUUUAGUAGUCACCAGUAUAGUUAGUAGAGAAGUAUUACAAUUUAGAUAGUCACUAAUUCUUUUUUUCUUUCGUUUGAGUACCUUAAAUGGUUACUUAAUUAACUAUUGAAAAUACUUAAAAAUCCUAAUAAAACACCAGCGUGCAUUAGAAUUCACAAUUCACAACAACGUACCUAAUAUUAUAUGUUCAAACAGUAUGCUUGCAUUCAAAUUUUAAGCGAAGAAGAAAAGAACUGCUUUUAUAUUACAAUAUGUAUUAAUAUCGCCAAGUAUUGCCUAACCAGUUUGAGAACUUCAGUUUGAAUGAAUAUAAUAUGUGCUUUAUAUUCCUAUUUAUUGUAGCUACAUGAAGCUUAAUAUGAAAAGGAUAAAAGAAGUCGGAAUCGGUGAAUAAAUUCAUAGUACAUAAUAUAGACAUGUUUCGAUCAAUCAGGCAUUACUGCAGUAGCUAUAUCCACCAACAGGUACGUGAAAACAAUAUGAUAAUUUAAAUCAAUCGAUAAUAUUAUUAUUCAAUUAAUUUAUUAUACAUAUUAUAUUCAU